UCAGGAUGAACGCUAGCGACAGGCCUAACACAUGCAAGUCAGGGGCAGCACAAGGAGCAAUCUGAGGUGGCGACCGGCGCACGGGUGAGUAACACGUAUGCAACCUGCCUGUAAGCGGGGAAUAACCCGUUGAAAGACGGACUAAUACCGCAUAAUACUAAAUUACUGCAUGGUAAUUUAUUUAAACAUUUAUGGCUUACAGAUGGGCAUGCGCAUGAUUAGCUAGUUGGAGAGGUAACGGCUCCCCAAGGCAACGAUCAUUAGGGGUUCUGAGAGGAAGGUCCCCCCACACUGGUACUGAGACACGGACCAGACUCCUACGGGAGGCAGCAGUGAGGAAUAUUGGUCAAUGGACGAGAGUCUGAACCAGCCAAGUCGCGUGCAGGAAGAAUUGUCCUAUGGAUUUGUAAACUGCUUUUGCAGGGGAAUAAAGUGCAUCACGUGUGAUGUUUUGUAUGUACUCUGCGAAUAAGGAUCGGCUAACUCCGUGCCAGCCGCCGC
RNAcentral lists this ribosomal RNA (501 nucleotides) under uncultured bacterium. Its description in RNAcentral is "bacterial SSU rRNA". It matches the Rfam family "Bacterial small subunit ribosomal RNA", at positions 24 to 518 of the family's 1533-position model. The record is from RNAcentral.